GGGAAUGUAGCUUAGUGGUAGAGUACUUGCCUAGCAUGCAUGAAGCCCUGGGUUUGAUUCCUCAGUACCA
Molecule: non-coding RNA, 70 nt
Organism: Dipodomys ordii (Ord's kangaroo rat)
Lineage: Eukaryota; Metazoa; Chordata; Mammalia; Rodentia; Heteromyidae
Source: Rfam